This 461-nucleotide ribosomal RNA is filed under the name uncultured bacterium. Its description in RNAcentral is "bacterial SSU rRNA". It matches the Rfam family "Bacterial small subunit ribosomal RNA", at positions 8 to 507 of the family's 1533-position model. The record is from RNAcentral.
AGAGUUUGAUCAUGGCUCAGGAUGAACGCUGGCGGCGUGCCUAAUACAUGCAAGUCGUGCGGAAAGGCCACUUCGGUGGUACUCGAGCGGUGGACGGCAGAGUAACGCGUAGGAACAUACCCCAAACUGAGGCAUAACUGCUCGAAAGAGCAGCUAAUACCGCAUGUGAUCUUCGGAUUAAAGCUUCGGCGGUUUGGGAAUGGCCUGCGUCCGAUUAGCUAGUUGGUGAGGUAAAUGCUCACCAAGGCUUCGAUCGGUAGCUGGUCUGAGAGGAUGAUCAGCCUGACUGGAACUGAGAACGGUCCAGACUCCUACGGGAGGCAGCAGUAGGGAAUUUUCCACAAUGGGCGAAAGCCUGAUGGAGCAACGCCGCGUGCAGGAUGAAUGCCUUCGGGUUGUAAACUGCUUUAUUAGUGAAGAAUAUGACGGUAACUAAUGAAUAAGGGUCGGCUAACUACGUG